CACGCCGUAAACGUUGGGCACUAGGUGUGGGUUCCAACCAACGGAAUCCGUGCCGCAGCUAACGCAUUAAGUGCCCCGCCUGGGGAGUACGGCCGCAAGGCUAAAACUCAAAGGAAUUGACGGGGGCCCGCACAAGCGGCGGAGCAUGUUGCUUAAUUCGAGGCAACGCGAAGAACCUUACCUGGGUUUGACAUUCUGGGAAAAGCCGUAGAGAUACGGUGUCCGAAAGGGUCCAGAACAGGUGG
Molecule: ribosomal RNA, 245 nt
Filed under: uncultured Actinomycetes bacterium
Lineage: Bacteria; Bacillati; Actinomycetota; Actinomycetes
Description: uncultured actinobacterium partial 16S ribosomal RNA
Rfam family: Bacterial small subunit ribosomal RNA
Source: RNAcentral